CCGGCAGCCCCCUAUUGGAGGGGGCGCCUGGCCCACCGGCACCCUUGUACAAUUUUGGGUUACAGUCUUCUUGACGGUAAUUCAAAAUUUGGACACUGUAGCGCGGGAAUGACAGGGGGAAAAAUUGCAGGGAAAAGAUGAGAACAACCACGUUGAACCUGGCCCAUUUCCCAUUUCCCUAAUACGUUGAACCCACAAGGGAAAAAAGACAAAGUGACCUUCUUCUUCUUCCCAAAUCGAACGGCGAUUUGCAACUUCUUCACCAAAUCGAUCAGCGCUUAGCAACCCGGAAAAUCGGUUGGCUCCUUACCCCUAAAAAGACGACCGACAACUGGCUCGUUACAACUAAAAAGACGACCGGCGUCCGACACUUUACCCUCAAAAACCGGCAGCGAAAGGCAGGUUUCUUUCACCUCUGAGGAUUAUACUUGGUUACGAAGAACCUGCAUCGUGGGAAGAGGUUGAAGGAAUGACCGACAAAGUGUGUUGAGGAAAGUCAUGCAGUUACACAUCCCUUUACAUUGAGGAAUGUGGCUCCUCCGUCGUCAACACAUAUGGCUAUCAGUUUUCAAGGUACCGCAGUACCGCACUACUAUCCACAUGUAGCUUAUCAAGCUGGAAUGGACUUCGUCUUAUUUGACGCGUCACAACAAUCUGCCACAGAUGAUGAUGUUUAGAUGUAGUUUUUUUUUCCCCCUUUUCGGAUGGUUCCUUCAUUUUGCAUUUCUCUCAAAUGUAGUUGCUUCAUUUUGAUGACAUUGCAGAUUUCACCUUCAACUUGAGGUUCUCAUUUUGUUAAAUUGCCAUCUAAGUGUACCUUACUUUCUUCACUGUCAUAAUGAAUUGUAUGAUGUAUGAAUGUAAUUCCAAUUGGUAGAGCAGU
Molecule: long non-coding RNA, 883 nt
Organism: Olea europaea var. sylvestris
Lineage: Eukaryota; Viridiplantae; Streptophyta; Magnoliopsida; Lamiales; Oleaceae
Exons: 4
Source: RefSeq, a predicted model, not a curated record